Molecule: ribosomal RNA, 254 nt
Filed under: uncultured bacterium
Lineage: Bacteria
Description: partial 16S ribosomal RNA
Rfam family: Bacterial small subunit ribosomal RNA
Source: RNAcentral
CACGUAGGGGCCAAGCGUUGUCCGGAUUUAUUGGGCGUAAAGAGCUCGUAGGCGGUUGGGUAAGUCGGGUGUGAAAACUCCAGGCUCAACUUGGAGACGCCACCCGAUACUGUUCUGACUUGAGUUCGGUAGGGGAGUGGGGAAUUCCUGGUGUAGCGGUGAAAUGCGCAGAUAUCAGGAGGAACACCGGUGGCGAAGGCGGCUUGCUGGGCCAGUUCUGACGCUGAGGAGCGAAAGCGUGGGGAGCGAACAGG